UGUACAGGAAGCUCACUGUAGAGGUCACGUGCCGAGUGCCUGGUGACUCCACCAAUCACCUCGGGGUAGGUCUGAGACAGGAGCCAAUUGCUGCCCCCGCAGGGCAUCACCUAACGCGGGUGAGCGAGUGCACAAGUAGCACACGUCUAGUUCCCCCCACUUGCUCAGUAUUGUUUCAAAUCCCCUUUCAGUCGCUCCCAGGAGUGAGGGUGGAGGAGGGAUCCGACACUCUCGUGCUUGGGAUCAAGCUGACAUGCCCUCAACCGGCCACAUUAAGCCAAUAAAUCAAUCUAAUUCAAAUUAAGUCUUUACUCCA
Lepisosteus oculatus (spotted gar) is the source of this 316-nucleotide unclassified non-coding RNA. It matches the Rfam family "Nuclear RNase P". From Rfam's summary of the family: Ribonuclease P (RNase P) is a ubiquitous endoribonuclease, found in archaea, bacteria and eukarya as well as chloroplasts and mitochondria. Its best characterised activity is the generation of mature 5'-ends of tRNAs by cleaving the 5'-leader elements of precursor-tRNAs. Cellular RNase Ps are ribonucleoproteins. The record is from Ensembl. NCBI's taxonomy places the organism in Eukaryota, Metazoa, Chordata, Actinopteri, Semionotiformes, Lepisosteidae.